This 498-nucleotide ribosomal RNA is filed under the name uncultured Anaplasma sp. RNAcentral describes it as "bacterial SSU rRNA". It matches the Rfam family "Bacterial small subunit ribosomal RNA", at positions 92 to 625 of the family's 1533-position model. The record is from RNAcentral. Lineage: Bacteria; Pseudomonadati; Pseudomonadota; Alphaproteobacteria; Rickettsiales; Anaplasmataceae.
UUAGUGGCAGACGGGUGAGUAAUGCAUAGGAAUCUACCUAGUAGUAUGGGAUAGCCACUAGAAAUGGUGGGUAAUACUGUAUAAUCCCUGCGGGGGAAAGAUUUAUCGCUAUUAGAUGAGCCUAUGUUAGAUUAGCUAGUUGGUAGGGUAAAGGCCUACCAAGGCGAUGAUCUAUAGCUGGUCUGAGAGGAUGAUCAGCCACACUGGAACUGAGAUACGGUCCAGACUCCUACGGGAGGCAGCAGUGGGGAAUAUUGGACAAUGGGCGCAAGCCUGAUCCAGCUAUGCCGCGUGAGUGAGGAAGGCCUUAGGGUUGUAAAACUCUUUCAGUAGGGAAGAUAAUGACGGUACCUACAGAAGAAGUCCCGGCAAACUCCGUGCCAGCAGCCGCGGUAAUACGGAGGGGGCAAGCGUUGUUCGGAAUUAUUGGGCGUAAAGGGCAUGUAGGCGGUUCGGUAAGUUAAAGGUGAAAUGCCAGGGCUUAACCCUGGAGCUGCU